This is a long non-coding RNA of Branchiostoma belcheri (Belcher's lancelet), 576 nucleotides long. RefSeq lists it as uncharacterized. The record is from RefSeq and is a predicted model, not a curated record. NCBI's taxonomy places the organism in Eukaryota, Metazoa, Chordata, Leptocardii, Amphioxiformes, Branchiostomatidae. The transcript has 4 exons.
AUGGCGGACGCUAGGCUCUGACGCACUCAAUGCUCCUCACUUUCCAGCGAAAUCUAGGCCUGAAAUAAGGAAUAGGGCUAUAUCGUACGUACUAAAACGUAGGGGAAGGCUUCAGGUUUACUUUGAGUCCUUCUAGAGGAAUUCUACUUAAGUUUUCUGGAGGUACCGACUCGUUUGUAACGCCGGACCCAUCAUGAUACUUCAUGGACGGUCACAGCAUGGAAAUGACCUGUACAUGGCUCCGGGCGAUCGCCAAGUCGCCGGAUAGAUAGCCCCAAAGAGAAGCAUGAACAGAAGUGGUUAUGGUACAGAUAGCCCUGAGAUUAGAAGAGGAAGAUCGUAUACUGCGAGAUGAAAAUACAACGUGCGCGAUAUGCUUGGACACAAGUACUGGUAUUUACUACACAUUGCCUUGCAAGCAUAUGUACCAUAGGCAGUGUAUUACAGAUUGGCUGAAGGUGUCCCCCUCUUGCCCCUUCUGUCGAGCACCUACGCCCCAGCUGGUAGGUCAAGGUAAACAAAAACUUUUUCUCAAACUACGUUGCACAUUACUACAUUAUAUACUGUACUUGUGAA